GUGACAGCCGCCGCGGUAAUACGGAGGGUGCAAGCGUUGUUCGGAAUCACUGGGCGUAAAGCGCGUGUAGGCGGUCCACUAAGUCUGGUGUGAAAGCCCGGGGCUCACCCCCGGAAGUGCACUGGAAACUGGCGGACUCGAGUCCCGGAGAGGAGAGUAGAAUUCCUGGUGUAGCGGUGAAAUGCGUAGAUAUCAGGAGGAAUACCGGUGGCGAAGGCGGCUCUCUGGACGGUGACUGACGCUGAGACGCGAAAGCGUGGGGAGCAAACAGGAUUAGAUACCCCGGUAGUCC
This 292-nucleotide ribosomal RNA is filed under the name uncultured bacterium. RNAcentral's name for it is "partial 16S ribosomal RNA". It matches the Rfam family "Bacterial small subunit ribosomal RNA", at positions 505 to 796 of the family's 1533-position model. The record is from RNAcentral.